Paramuricea clavata is the source of this 348-nucleotide non-coding RNA. The record is from the annotation of a GenBank genome assembly. Lineage: Eukaryota; Metazoa; Cnidaria; Anthozoa; Malacalcyonacea; Plexauridae.
AAAAAAACUGAACAGAUUUAAAAUUGCUCUCAAUUUCGCAAAACAGUUAUUUGUAUCCGGUUCUUUAUAUAUAUAGCCUCUUUGGGUACUUAUAAUGUAGAAUAAUGAGAAAAAUUUCUCGAACUCAAAUUUUGUGAACCAGGGGGGUUUGUAUUUUCCAAUAAACUAAAAAUGGCUCGCGCACAAAAUUUAAAAGCUGCAAUCAUAAUUUGAGUUAACAGAUGGAAAACUUGUCAGGAUUUUAAUUACUGUACAAAAUUUCAGACAAUUUGGUUUAGUUUAAGCCCCUUAACUAUUCACGCAAAGUUGCAAUUUUCCCGAAAAAUCAGCUAUUUGCAUGCUUAAUUA